This 57-nucleotide transfer RNA is filed under the name Opitutia bacterium. Its description in RNAcentral is "tRNA-Arg". It matches the Rfam family "tRNA", at positions 8 to 62 of the family's 71-position model. Rfam says of the family: Transfer RNA (tRNA) molecules are approximately 80 nucleotides in length. Their secondary structure includes four short double-helical elements and three loops (D, anti-codon, and T loops). Further hydrogen bonds mediate the characteristic L-shaped molecular structure. tRNAs have two regions of fundamental functional importance: the anti-codon, which is responsible for specific mRNA codon recognition, and the 3' end, to which the tRNAs corresponding amino acid is attached (by aminoacyl-tRNA synthetases). tRNAs cope with the degeneracy of the genetic code in two manners: having more than one tRNA (with a specific anti-codon) for a particular amino acid; and 'wobble' base-pairing, i.e. permitting non-standard base-pairing at the 3rd anti-codon position. Lineage: Bacteria; Pseudomonadati; Verrucomicrobiota; Opitutia. The record is from RNAcentral.
UAGCUCAGUGGAUAGAGCAACGGUUUUCUAAACCGAAGGUCGUGGGUUCGAAUCCCA